CGGCCCGCCUGUGGGGAGGGGAAAGGCGGGCUCACCGCCCGCGGGCCGCCGGUAACGGAAGGGCCGCGCGGCCCGGGCAUGGCGCGGAGCGCCGUGAAGGGGCUGCUGCUGCUGGAGGCGGCGGGGCUGCUCGGCGCCCUCCUGCUCUACCGCGCCAUGGACCGCAGCCAAGAUUUCAGAUAUACAAUGCAGAAGAGGUUUCCAUCAGUUCUAGAAGCGUAUUACAAAUCCAAUGAGUGGUCUGGAAUUCACGGCAUAAGGGAGAAUGACCAAAUGACAUGGUUAAGCAGCAAGAACUGAACCCUCUGUGCCUGAACUGUUUCUUCUUUUUGAUGAUGCUUUUCACAUCCCUAUUGUGAAGCCACUUGUCACGCUCUAUUUCCCAUUGGAUCUGUUUGACAUCUGUAAGAGGAAAGGUGAGAAAUAAGGAGCUGAUGGAUACCUCUGAACAUGUUGUGGAAUCACGUAAAAGUUAAAACUUGGCUGCUGUAUUUAUAAACGUUAAUAAAGUACAAGAUGCCAGUUUUUAUUGA
Long non-coding RNA from Tyto alba (common barn owl), 533 nucleotides. RefSeq lists it as uncharacterized. NCBI's taxonomy places the organism in Eukaryota, Metazoa, Chordata, Aves, Strigiformes, Tytonidae. The record is from RefSeq and is a predicted model, not a curated record. The transcript has 4 exons.